RNAcentral lists this ribosomal RNA (437 nucleotides) under uncultured Lachnospiraceae bacterium. Its description in RNAcentral is "partial 16S ribosomal RNA". It matches the Rfam family "Bacterial small subunit ribosomal RNA", at positions 341 to 792 of the family's 1533-position model. Lineage: Bacteria; Bacillati; Bacillota; Clostridia; Lachnospirales; Lachnospiraceae. The record is from RNAcentral.
ACGGGAGGCAGCAGUGGGGAAUAUUGCACAAUGGGGGAAACCCUGAUGCAGCGAUGCCGCGUGAAGGAUGAAGGGUUUCGGCUCGUAAACUUUUAUCGAUAGUGAAGAAACAAAUGACGGUAACUAAGUAAGAAGCUCCGGCUAAAUACGUGCCAGCAGCCGCGGUAAUACGUAUGGAGCAAGCGUUAUCCGGAUUUACUGGGUGUAAAGGGAGCGUAGACGGCAAAGCAAGUCUGAAGUGAAAUCCCGGGGCUCAACCCCGGAACUGCUUUGGAAACUGUUUAGCUAGAGUGCAGGAGAGGUAAGCGGAAUUCCUAGUGUAGCGGUGAAAUGCGUAGAUAUUAGGAGGAACACCAGUGGCGAAGGCGGCUUACUGGACUGUAACUGACGUUGAGGCUCGAAAGCGUGGGGAGCAAACAGGAUUAGAUACCCUGGUA